RNAcentral lists this ribosomal RNA (323 nucleotides) under uncultured eukaryote. RNAcentral describes it as "partial 18S ribosomal RNA". It matches the Rfam family "Eukaryotic small subunit ribosomal RNA", at positions 1470 to 1796 of the family's 1831-position model. The record is from RNAcentral.
CCCUUAGAUGUUCUGGGCCGCACGCGCGCUACACUGAUGCAUUCAACGAGUUUUUCCUGGUCCGAGAGGAAUGGGUAACCUUUUGAAAGUGCAUCGUGAUAGGGAUAGACUAUUGCAAUUAUUGGUCUUCAACGAGGAAUUCCUAGUAGACGUAGUUCAUCAGACUGCAUCGAUUACGUCCCUGCCCUUUGUACACACCGCCCGUCGCUCCUACCGAUUGAAUGCUCAGGUGAGCCAUUCGGACUUUCAUCAUGCUGGUUUCCAGUUUUGAUGAAGGAAAGUCUUGCGAACCUUAUCAUUUAGAGGAAGGAGAAGUCGUAACA